This 250-nucleotide ribosomal RNA is filed under the name uncultured bacterium. RNAcentral describes it as "partial 16S ribosomal RNA". It matches the Rfam family "Bacterial small subunit ribosomal RNA", at positions 524 to 773 of the family's 1533-position model. RNAcentral also lists the same sequence under 1 other name. The record is from RNAcentral.
UACGAAGGGGGCUAGCGUUGUUCGGAAUCACUGGGCGUAAAGGGCGCGUAGGCGGCUUUGUAAGUCGGGGGUGAAAGCCUGUGGCUCAACCACAGAAUUGCCUUCGAUACUGCAUGGCUUGAGACCGGAAGAGGUAAGUGGAACUGCGAGUGUAGAGGUGAAAUUCGUAGAUAUUCGCAAGAACACCAGUGGCGAAGGCGGCUUACUGGUCCGGUUCUGACGCUGAGGCGCGAAAGCGUGGGGAGCAAAC